This 1446-nucleotide ribosomal RNA is filed under the name Triticum aestivum (bread wheat). RNAcentral describes it as "partial small subunit ribosomal RNA". The record is from RNAcentral. Lineage: Eukaryota; Viridiplantae; Streptophyta; Magnoliopsida; Poales; Poaceae.
AUGGCCAGCGAAGGCGAGCACGCGGCGGCGGCGGCGGCGGCGGGCGAGCAGACGCCGCUCAAGAAGGCGGGCGAGGCGGAGCAGGGCGAGGAGCUCCAGGCCCCCUCCGGCUGGACCAAGAAGCUUAAUCCCACUCGGGGUGGGAAGUUUGAGGUUGUUUUUGUUGCACCAACUGGCGAGGAGGUCAAGACCAAGAGAGCUUUAACCACAUACCUAAAAGCACACCCUGGAGGCCCUGCUCUUUCAGAGUUCGUCUGGGCAACUGCAGGCAAUACUCCCAGACGAUCCUCACGUCUAAGUGCAAAGCCUAAGGCUACUGAGAGCCCAGAAGAUGAGAAACCCUCACGCCGAAGUGGAAAGUCUAAGGCUACCGAGAGCCCGGAAGAUGAGAAACCUGCCAAACGGGGAAGGCCCUCAAGCUCUAAGAAAGGCAAAAAGGGGAAACAGGAGGAUGCAGAGGACGCAGAAGCUGAAAGUGGAGAUCAUGCUGAUGCUGAAGAAGCCAAAGGCACUGAAGUGGAGAUGAAAGAUGCUGAAGAAGCCAAAGUCACUGACCUGGACCUGGAGAUGAAAGAAGCUGACAAUGCUCAGGAAGAGAAGAAAGAGGAAGAGGCUGGCAGUUUGGUUGGAGAGAAGAAAGAAGCUGACACUGUUGCUCCGGAAGAGAAGAAAGAGGCUGACACUGUUGCUCCGGAGGAGGAGAAGAAAGAGGCCGACACUGUUGCUCCGGAAGAGAAGAAAGAGGCCGGCACUGUUGCUCCGGAAGAGAAGAAAGAGGCCGACACUGUUGCUCCGGAAGAGAAGAAAGAGGCCGACACUGUUGCUCAAGAAGAGAAGAAAGAGGCUGACACUGUUGCUCAAGAAGAGAAGAAAGAUGCCCCUGUCGUUGAUGCCCCAGAGAAGACUGAAGAAGUGGAAGGCGAGGCAGCUGAAUCUGAGGUAGCUCCCGUGGAGGCUGAGAUGCCUGACCCUGUAACGGAGAACAAGGAAAACGAGAAGCCAGCUGAAUUUGAAGAAGUCCCGGUGGAGUUUGAGAUGUCUGACCUUGUAUCCGAGAACAAGGAAAACGAGAAGCCAGCUGAAUCUGAAGAAGUCCCCGUGGAGUUUGAGAUGUCUGCCCCUGUAUUAGAAGAGCACAUGGAAGAUGAAAAGGCAGCUGAAUAUGAAGUAGCUCCCGUGGAGGGUGAGAAAACUGAAAACGGCCUGGCAGUCGAAUCCACAGUGCCACCUCCAGCAUCUUCAGAGGAAAAGAAAGUAGAGGCAGAUAGCACCAUCAAUCCGGCGACCCCUCCUCCAGCUGAGGUGAAGGCAGAUGCUCCAGCGGCAGAGGCAGCAAAAGCCACGGAGAAUCCAGCAGACAACGCCGUCCCCGAAGAACAAUCCGCCGCGAACGUCGACAACAAUGGACAGAUUCAUCCAGGUGUUUCUACCGUGAGGUGCACCUGA